GAUGAACGCUGGCGGCGUGCCUAAUACAUGCAAGUCGAGCGAACGGACGAGAAGCUUGCUUCUCUGAUGUUAGCGGCGGACGGGUGAGUAACACGUGGAUAACCUACCUAUAAGAUUGGGAUAACUUCGGGAAACCGGAGCUAAUACCGGAUAAUAUUUUGAACCGCAUGGUUCAAAAGUGAAAGACGGUCUUGCUGUCACUUAUAGAUGGAUCCGCGCUGCAUUAGCUAGUUGGUAAGGUAACGGCUUACCAAGGCAACGAUGCAUAGCCGACCUGAGAGGGUGAUCGGCCACACUGGGACUGAGACACGGUCCAGACUCCUACGGGAGGCAGCAGUAGGGAAUCUUCCGCAAUGGGCGAAAGCCUGACGGAGCAACGCCGCGUGAGUGAUGAAGGUCUUCGGAUCGUAAAACUCUGUUAUUAGGGAAGAACAUAUGUGUAAGUAACUGUGCACAUCUUGACGGUACCUAAUCAGAAAGCCACGGCUAACUACGUG
Molecule: ribosomal RNA, 497 nt
Filed under: uncultured bacterium
Lineage: Bacteria
Description: partial 16S ribosomal RNA
Rfam family: Bacterial small subunit ribosomal RNA
Source: RNAcentral